GCGCCCUUGGCUCAGCUGGAUAGAGCGUUUGGCUACGAACCAGAAGGUCGGGGGUUCGAAUCCCUCAGGGCGCGCCA
Molecule: transfer RNA, 77 nt
Filed under: bioreactor metagenome
Description: tRNA-Arg
Rfam family: tRNA
About the family: Transfer RNA (tRNA) molecules are approximately 80 nucleotides in length. Their secondary structure includes four short double-helical elements and three loops (D, anti-codon, and T loops).
Source: RNAcentral